AGUGAACGCUGGCGGUAGGCCUAACACAUGCAAGUCGAACGGCAGCACAGUAAGAGCUUGCUCUUACGGGUGGCGAGUGGCGGACGGGUGAGGAAUACAUCGGAAUCUACUUUUUCGUGGGGGAUAACGUAGGGAAACUUACGCUAAUGCCGCAUACGACCUACGGGUGAAAGCAGGGGAUCUUCGGACCUUGCGCGAUUGAAUGAGCCGAUGUCGGAUUAGCUAGUUGGCGGGGUAAAGGCCCACCAAGGCGACGAUCCGUAGCUGGUCUGAGAGGAUGAGCAGCCACACUGGAACUGAGACACGGUCCAGACUCCUGCGGGAGCCAGCAGUGGGGACUAGUGGACAAUGGGCGCCGGCUUGAUCCAGCCGUACCGCGGGGAAGAAGAAGGCCUUCGGGUUGUAACGCUGUUCUGUCGGUAAAAAAAAGAAGCAGGUGAACACCCCGCUUUCCGGCCGCCGCCCAAAGAAACAGAACCGCCCACCUUUGUU
Molecule: ribosomal RNA, 492 nt
Filed under: uncultured bacterium
Lineage: Bacteria
Description: partial 16S ribosomal RNA
Rfam family: Bacterial small subunit ribosomal RNA
Source: RNAcentral